RNAcentral lists this small nucleolar RNA (170 nucleotides) under Echinops telfairi (small Madagascar hedgehog). The record is from RNAcentral. Lineage: Eukaryota; Metazoa; Chordata; Mammalia; Afrosoricida; Tenrecidae.
CAUCUGCGGAGUCUCGGCCACGUCCAGGGUUGGCAGUACCCUCGGCACACCAGACUCGCAGGAAAAGCAUACCCCGGAGGAAGCUGAGGCAUGCCUGCUCGAGAGCCGGCAGUGCCAUGUGCAAUGUUCCUCGGAUACCGCAAAAAAAAAAAAAAAAAAACAAAACAAAA